AUUGAACGCUGGCGGCAGGCCUAACACAUGCAAGUCGAACGGUAACAGGAAGAAGCUUGCUUCUUUGCUGACGAGUGGCGGACGGGUGAGUAAUGUCUGGGAAACUGCCUGAUGGAGGGGGAUAACUACUGGAAACGGUAGCUAAUACCGCAUAACAUCGCAAGACCAAAGAGGGGGACCUUCGGGCCUCUUGCCAUCGGAUGUGCCCAGAUGGGAUUAGCUAGUAGGUGGGGUAACGGCUCACCUAGGCGACGAUCCCUAGCUGGUCUGAGAGGAUGACCAGCCACACUGGAACUGAGACACGGUCCAGACUCCUACGGGAGGCAGCAGUGGGGAAUAUUGCACAAUGGGCGCAAGCCUGAUGCAGCCAUGCCGCGUGUAUGAAGAAGGCCUUCGGGUUGUAAAGUACUUUCAGCGGGGAGGAAGGGAGUAAAGUUAAUACCUUUACUCAUUGACGUUACCCGCAGAAGAAGCACCGGCUAACUCCGU
Molecule: ribosomal RNA, 489 nt
Filed under: uncultured bacterium
Lineage: Bacteria
Description: partial 16S ribosomal RNA
Rfam family: Bacterial small subunit ribosomal RNA
Source: RNAcentral